Molecule: long non-coding RNA, 300 nt
Filed under: Panax ginseng (ginseng)
Lineage: Eukaryota; Viridiplantae; Streptophyta; Magnoliopsida; Apiales; Araliaceae
Description: long non-coding RNA (PGIN_LNC014167)
Source: RNAcentral
UACUUUGUUGAAUUUAUUGUUAUAUUUUUCACACAUCUGGUGCUCUAAAAUUUUUAUCAAAUUUCAGACAGCAGUUUUUGUGAAAUAAUGAAGAGCAAAUCAUAUUUGUAUUGUCUGGUACUUGUAUACACUAAAUGUUGUCCCAGAGCUAUCUGAUACAGUAAGUCAGUAACGUCAUGUAGCUGCUUGUUGUGGCUUUAUCAAGGUGCCCAAGACAUACAGUGAUUUAUUCAAUUUGGUAGAGGGAUAAAAUACAGCAUGUGAUACUUGAUGCACUACUUGACUCUCUUCGGAAUUUUU